AAAAGAUGGAAGAGGCACACACCCAGGCAGCAAGGAAGGAUGACACACAGCUGGGUCUUGGGGAAGCAGCCAAGCUUCUGGCAGAGUUUGGAGUGUUUGCCCUCCUCCUCCUGCUUUGACAACUUUGCGGCUACCUACAGCUGAGCGCCCUGCUCUCAUAACCAUCAAUCCUCAGUUUUACUCCCGCCGGCUUCUCUUCUCUUCUGCCCAACCAGGCGCUGACUCCUAGCUGGCUUCCCCAACUUGUGCUGUCCUCACUUGGUGUGCCUGGCUUCCUCACUUAUGUCAACAAGUCCCAGCGUGUGGGACACGAGUCGGAGCAAACUUUCAAUAAAUAUACUUAAUGCACCGCACUGAAUUUCAAGCGAAAAGCAGAAAAAGUGCUACUAAAAAGUUGAAAGAUGCCUGUCUCAAAACGGAAUGAAGCAGCCUAACGCAGCCACAGCCAGUAAAUUACUUGAAGAAAGAAGACUCCAAAUCCAGUGUUUCUCAUCACCAUGUGAAAGCAGAGUAAAGGCAAAAGGCCAGCAAAGGCAACUGAAGAUAAUCAGACAUUCCUGAGAAGAAAUCCAGCUCUGCCUUCGUUAACCACCUCUCUUUUCUGGGAUGCUGCUACAGCAUGGGUGGAUGAGCAGUGCUAGGUCCACGUCCAGGAUCUGAACCCAUGGACUCCAGGCCGCUGAAGUGGAGGGCAUGAACUUAACCACUAUGCCAUUGGGCCAGCACCAACUUCCAACUUUUUAAGAGCAAGUUAACUGAUUUGCAGAAUAAAGAUGGAUCAAGUUAAAAACAUACAUUUACACACAUAACACUGUGUGUGUGUGUGUGCCCAUGUAAAUUAGGAGAAUAUACAUGAUAUUUUAAAAAAUAUCAUGACAAUUAUUGCCUCUGGGAUCAAACACACAGCGCUCUGACCUCAACUCCAACUCCACCAGGGGCAUCUCUGUCUCCUUGGCCUCCCCCAGCACCUUCCCAUCCUUCAAUCUUACUAUCGCCGCCCAUCACCCUAUUACCCAAUCCUGGUCAAGAUUUGGUCUCAUUUCCCUCUUCUCUAAUAGCUGCUGCCUAACCUCCCCACUUAUGCAGUUCAGCCAGGGAGAUGAUUUGGGUCAUGUCCCUCCCGUCCCCUACAACAGUUAACUUGCACCCACAUGAUGCAAAGCUUUUACAGAUUAUUGGGGAUUAUUUGUGACCUUCCGACACUUUGCCCACUCCAAGUCCCCCCACCCCUGCCAAACACCACAUACCACCACUAUCAACACUUUUCUCUGAGUUAAUUUAUAUUUCACUCUUUGACUUUUCCACACCUUGCCUUCCAAGUGGCCCGUGAGCUUAUGUCUCUACACCUUUAUGACAAGGAAAUAAUUUCCUCUUGAAGAUGCAUCCUAUUUGAUAUCUUGAUAACUCUGAAAAAUUGCUUUCUUCUGCUUGGCCAAACUCUUCUUUUGGAUAAUAUUAGUCUGAGUUUUCUCUUCCCUUUAAUGAUCCUUUAAAAAAACAACCUUUAUCUAAUCCCUUUUCCAUGAAGUCAGGUCUUCAGAUAAGAUCUAU
This is a long non-coding RNA of Equus asinus (donkey), 1551 nucleotides long. Lineage: Eukaryota; Metazoa; Chordata; Mammalia; Perissodactyla; Equidae. The record is from Ensembl.